AAGAGCCGUACGAGGUGAAAAUCUCAUGUACGGUUCUUUAGAGUGGCAGUAAGGUUGAUUCAUCUGUCAACUUUUCC
This 77-nucleotide non-coding RNA is filed under the name Olea europaea subsp. europaea. Lineage: Eukaryota; Viridiplantae; Streptophyta; Magnoliopsida; Lamiales; Oleaceae. The record is from RNAcentral.